GAUGAACGCUGGCGGCGUGCCUAAUACAUGCAAGUCGAGCGAACGGACGAGAAGCUUGCUUCUCUGAUGUUAGCGGCGGACGGGUGAGUAACACGUGGAUAACCUACCUAUAAGACUGGGAUAACUUCGGGAAACCGGAGCUAAUACCGGAUAAUAUUUUGAACCGCAUGGUUCAAAAGUGAAAGACGGUCUUGCUGUCACUUAUAGAUGGAUCCGCGCUGCAUUAGCUAGUUGGUAAGGUAACGGCUUACCAAGGCAACGAUGCAUAGCCGACCUGAGAGGGUGAUCGGCCACACGGGAACUGAGACACGGACCAGACUCCUACGGGAGGCAGCAGUAGGGAAUCUUCCGCAAGGGGCGAAAGCCUGACGGAGCAACGCCGCGUGAGUGAUGAAGGUCGUCGGAUCGUAAAACUCUGUUAUUAGGGAAGAACAUAUGUGUAAGGAACUGUGCACAUCUUGACGGUACCUAAUCAGAAAGCCACGGCUAACUACGUG
This 497-nucleotide ribosomal RNA is filed under the name uncultured bacterium. RNAcentral's name for it is "partial 16S ribosomal RNA". It matches the Rfam family "Bacterial small subunit ribosomal RNA", at positions 28 to 507 of the family's 1533-position model. The record is from RNAcentral.